Molecule: ribosomal RNA, 445 nt
Filed under: uncultured bacterium
Lineage: Bacteria
Description: bacterial SSU rRNA
Rfam family: Bacterial small subunit ribosomal RNA
Source: RNAcentral
ACCAGACUCCUACGGGAGGCAGCAGUGGGGAAUAUUGCGCAAUGGGGGAAACCCUGAUGCAGCGACGCCGCGUGAGUGAAGAAGUAUUUCGGUAUGUAAAGCUCUCUCAGCAGGGAAGAAAAUGACGGUACCUGAUUAAGAAGCCCCGGCUAACUACGUGCCAGCAGCCGCGGUAAUACGUAGGGGGCAAGCGUUAUCCGGAUUUACUGGGUGUAAAGGGAGCGUAGACGGUGAUGCAAGUCAGAAGUGAAAGCCCGGGGCUCAACUCCGGGACUGCUUUUGAAACUGUGUAACUGGAGUGCAGGAGAGGUAAGCGGAAUUCCUGGUGUAGCGGUGAAAUGCGUAGAUAUCAGGAGGAACACCAGUGGCGAAGGCGGCUUACUGGACGGUAACUGACGCUGAGGCUCGAAAGCGUGGGGAGCAAACAGGAUUAGAUACCCUUGUA